Molecule: ribosomal RNA, 465 nt
Filed under: Vreelandella stevensii
Lineage: Bacteria; Pseudomonadati; Pseudomonadota; Gammaproteobacteria; Oceanospirillales; Halomonadaceae
Description: partial 16S ribosomal RNA
Rfam family: Bacterial small subunit ribosomal RNA
Source: RNAcentral
CCUACGGGAGGCUGCAGUGGGGAAUAUUGGACAAUGGGGGGAACCCUGAUUCAGCCAUGCCGCGUGUGUGAAGAAGGCCCUCGGGUUGUAAAGCACUUUCAGUGAGGAAGAACGCCUGGUGGUUAAUACCCAUCAGGAAAGACAUCACUCACAGAAGAAGCACCGGCUAACUCCGUGCCAGCAGCCGCGGUAAUACGGAGGGUGCGAGCGUUAAUCGGAAUUACUGGGCGUAAAGCGCGCGUAGGUGGCUUGAUAAGCCGGUUGUGAAAGCCCCGGGCUCAACCUGGGAACGGCAUCCGGAACUGUCAAGCUAGAGUGCAGGAGAGGAAGGUAGAAUUCCCGGUGUAGCGGUGAAAUGCGUAGAGAUCGGGAGGAAUACCAGUGGCGAAGGCGGCCUUCUGGACUGACACUGACACUGAGGUGCGAAAGCGUGGGUAGCAAACAGGAUUAGAUACCCGAGUAGUC